UGCUAACAAUGAGACCCUUGGGUACUUCAUUGGGAGAAUGUUUUUGUUUUUAACUUGCCUUGGCAUAGACAAGCAUCACUUGCAAUUUAGGUAGCGUCUUGGCAAUGAAAUGACACACUAUGCAGCAGAUUGUUGGGUUGCUGAAAUUGAUUGUUCCUAUGGUUGGAUGGAGUGUGUUGAUAUUUCAGAGAGGUCGGGAUAUGAUUUACGAGCACUUAUGGAGAAAAGUGGAGUUGCUUUUGUUGCCUGUGAACAAUCUGCUGAACCAGAGAAGUGGUGGUAAUUCUUCAGACUAGUUAAUUUUGCUAGCUAUUCUUAGAGUACAUUGAGCAGAAACUGGUAAUUGAUCCAGACGAGGAGCAACUAGGUCUCGCCUUUAAGGAAAAUGAGAAGAAGAUGGUGGUUGAGUCUCUUUUGGUAUAUGCUGGAGGUUCCUUGGUUUUUGCUCUUUUGCUUAGUAUGCUCGGAAUUUGUUCCUUUACUUGAUGCUUGCAUUUGUCUUGUUAAUACCAGGCAAUGGGUGAAGAGGAAGCUUUGGGGUUGAAGGGUGCUUUAGAAUCCAAAGGAGAGGCUGGAUUUCUUGUAUAGCCAGUGCGGAGGAAAGUAAAAAUCAAGGAUAACAUAGUCAAAAUUUCUAAGCAGGAGAUAAGGGAGUAGGAGAGGGUUUUUACACCAUCUGUUAUUGAAUUGUCUUUUAGCUUUGGACACAUAAUAUUCUGCCUUUUUUAGCAUUCUUUCUAUACAAGAUCCAUCGAAGCA
This is an RNA transcript of Syzygium oleosum, 759 nucleotides long. It is a transcript of the gene named glycine--tRNA ligase, mitochondrial 1-like, with no coding region annotated. The record is from RefSeq and is a predicted model, not a curated record. Lineage: Eukaryota; Viridiplantae; Streptophyta; Magnoliopsida; Myrtales; Myrtaceae. The transcript has 3 exons.